This is a long non-coding RNA of Dermochelys coriacea (leatherback sea turtle), 253 nucleotides long. RefSeq lists it as uncharacterized. Lineage: Eukaryota; Metazoa; Chordata; Testudines; Dermochelyidae. The transcript has 3 exons. The record is from RefSeq and is a predicted model, not a curated record.
CUAGAUACUUUCCUAGUUUUACAACAGACUACAUAAAAAGCACUAGCUAAGUCAGUACAAAGUAAAAAUUUCAUAGACAAUGAUUUGUUUAUACUACCAUGUAUAGUAUACACUGAAAUCUAAGGACAAUAUUUAUAUCCCAGUUCAUUUAUUUUAUAAUUAUAUGGUAAAAAUGAGAAGGUAAGCAAUUUUUCAAUAAUAGUAUGCUGUGAUACUUUUAUAUUUUUAUGUCUGAUUUUUGUAGGCAAAUUAU